RNAcentral lists this transfer RNA (64 nucleotides) under Pyrhila pisum. RNAcentral's name for it is "tRNA-Glu". The record is from RNAcentral. Lineage: Eukaryota; Metazoa; Arthropoda; Malacostraca; Decapoda; Leucosiidae.
AAUUUUUAUGGUGUAUAAACAUAUUAUAUUUUCAUUAUAAAGCUGAGUUAUAAACUCUAAAAAU